GGAUGAACGCUGGAGGUGUGCCUAACACAUGCAAGUCGAACGAACCUUUGGAGUAGAGACUUCGGUCAAAGCUCCUGUUAGGUUAGUGGCGAACGGGUGAGUAAUACAUAGGUAACGUGCCCUUAAGCCUGGGAUAACCAUUCGAAAGGAUGGCUAAUACCGGAUAUUUUCUUUUAAUCGCAUGAUUUAAAGAGGAAAGAUUUAUCGCUUAAGGAGUGGCCUAUGCCUGAUUAGCUAGUUGGUAGGGUAAUGGCCUACCAAGGCAACGAUCAGUAGCUGGUCUGAGAGGACGAACAGCCACACUGGGACUGAGAUACGGCCCAGACUCCUACGGGAGGCAGCAGUGGGGAAUAUUGCGCAAUGGGCGAAAGCCUGACGCAGCGACACCUCGUGAACGACGAAGUCUUUCGGGAUGUAAAGUUCUGUCAAUAGGGACGAUUAUGACGGUACCUAUAGAGGAAGCACCGGCUAACUACGUGCCAGCAGCCGCGGUAAUACGUAGGGUGCGAGCGUUAUCCGGAUUUAUUGGGCAUAAAGCGCGCGUAGGUGGUUUUUUAAGUCAGAUGUUAAAGACCUCGGCUCAACCGGGGUUUGCGUCUGAAACUGAAAAACUAGAGGUCAGUAGAGGAAAGCGGAACUCACAGUGUAGCGGUGAAAUGCGUAGAUAUUGUGAGGAACACCAGUUGCGAAAGGCGGCUUUCUGGCCUGAUCCUGACACUGAGGUGCGAAAGCGUGGGGAGCGAACGGGAUUAGAUACCCCGGUAGUCCACGCCGUAAACGGUGUUCACUAGGUGUUGGAGGUAUCGACCCCUUCAGUGCCACAGAUAAUUCGUUAAGUGAACCGCCUGGGAAGUACGACCGCAAGGUUAAAACUCAAAGGAAUUGACGGGGGCCCGCACAAGCAGUGGAGCAUGUGGUUUAAUUCGACGAUACGCGAAGAACCUUACCAGGGUUUGACAUCUACCGGAGUCUCUAGAAACAGAGAUGUGCCCGCAAGGGAACGGUAAGACAGGUGGUGCAUGGCUGUCGUCAGCUCGUGUCGUGAGAUGUUGGGUUAAGUCCCGCAACGAGCGCAACCCUCGUCCCGUGUUGCCAGCACAUAAUGGUGGGAACUCACGGGAGACUGCCUGUGGAAAGCAGGAGGAAGGUGGGGAUGAGGUCAAGUCAUCAUGCCCCUUACACCCUGGGCUACACACAUGCUACAAUGGCCGAUACAAUGGGUUGCGAAGCCGCGAGGUGAAGCUAAUCUCAAAAAAUCGGCCUCAGUUCGGAUUGUAGUCUGCAACUCGACUACAUGAAGUUGGAAUUGCUAGUAAACGCAAAUCAUCAAUGUUGCGUUGAAUACGUUCCCGGGCCUUGCACUCACCG
RNAcentral lists this ribosomal RNA (1368 nucleotides) under uncultured bacterium. RNAcentral describes it as "bacterial SSU rRNA". It matches the Rfam family "Bacterial small subunit ribosomal RNA", at positions 27 to 1392 of the family's 1533-position model. The record is from RNAcentral.